This 253-nucleotide ribosomal RNA is filed under the name uncultured bacterium. RNAcentral's name for it is "partial 16S ribosomal RNA". It matches the Rfam family "Bacterial small subunit ribosomal RNA", at positions 524 to 776 of the family's 1533-position model. The record is from RNAcentral.
UACGAAGGGGGCUAGCGUUGCUCGGAUUGACUGGGCGUAAAGGGCGCGUAGGCGGUUCGUACAGUCAGACGUGAAAUUCCUGGGCUCAACCUGGGGGCUGCGUUUGAUACGUGCGGGCUUGAGUUCGGAAGAGGGUCGUGGAAUUCCCAGUGUAGAGGUGAAAUUCGUAGAUAUCGGGAAGAACACCCGUGGCGAAGGCGGCACUCUGGGACGGUACUGACGCUGAGACGCGAAAGCGUGGGGAGCGAACAGG